Molecule: ribosomal RNA, 479 nt
Filed under: uncultured bacterium
Lineage: Bacteria
Description: partial 16S ribosomal RNA
Rfam family: Bacterial small subunit ribosomal RNA
Source: RNAcentral
GACGAACGCUGGCGGCGUGCUUAACACAUGCAAGUUGAACGAGAAUUUUUCGAGUGAUUUCUUCGGAAUGAUCAUGAAAAAGGAAGUAGCGAACGGGUGAGUAACACGUGAGAAACCUGCCUUUCACAAAGGGAUAGCCUCGGGAAACCGGGAUUAAUACCUUAUGAAACCAAACACUCGCAUGAGAGAUUGGUUAAAGAUUUAUCGGUGUUAGAUGGUCUCGCGUCUGAUUAGCUAGUUGGUGGGAUAAAAGCCUACCAAGGCAACGAUCAGUAGCCGGAUUGAGAGGUUGAACGGCCACACUGGAACUGAGACACGGUCCAGACUCCUACGGGAGGCAGCAGUGGGGAAUUUUGCACAAUGGAGGAAACUCUGAUGCAGCGACGCCGCGUGAGUGAUGAAGGUCUUCGGAUUGUAAAACUCUGUCCUGAGUGAAGAUAAUGACAGUAACUAAGAAGCAAGCCCUGGCUAAAUACGUG